UAGGGAAUCUUCGGCAAUGGGGGGAACCCUUACCGAGCAACGCCGCGUGAGUGAAGAAGGUUUUCGGAUCGUAAAGCUCUGUUGUUAAGGAAGAACGAGUGUGAGAAUGGAAAGUUCAUGCUGUGACGGUACUUAACCAGAAAGGGACGGCUAACUACGUGCCAGCAGCCGCGGUAAUACGUAGGUCCCGAGCGUUGUCCGGAUUUAUUGGGCGUAAAGCGAGCGCAGGCGGUUAGAUAAGUCUGAAGUUAAAGGCAGUGGCUCAACCAUUGUAGGCUUUGGAAACUGUUUAACUUGAGUGCAGAAGGGGAGAGUGGAAUUCCAUGUGUAGCGGUGAAAUGCGUAGAUAUAUGGAGGAACACCGGUGGCGAAAGCGGCUCUCUGGUCUGUAACUGACGCUGAGGCUCGAAAGCGUGGGGAGCGAACAGG
RNAcentral lists this ribosomal RNA (429 nucleotides) under Bacteroidota bacterium. Its description in RNAcentral is "Bacteroidetes bacterium partial 16S ribosomal RNA". It matches the Rfam family "Bacterial small subunit ribosomal RNA", at positions 355 to 776 of the family's 1533-position model. Lineage: Bacteria; Pseudomonadati; Bacteroidota. The record is from RNAcentral.